CUCUUCAGUAAUUGCGCAUGAACCAGGAUAUGCUUAGCUUGACAAAUGGAGCUGCUGGCUCUGAAUUGUAUUGUGGGAAUGUAUUACCAACAGAGGUGCAGGUCACACUCCUUGGCAUUGGAAUGCAAAGUGGGUGGUAAGUUUCAUGCAAAGGUAAAUAUGCAAUUGAGACUGAUAGCGCACAAGUACCAUGAGGGACAUAUGAAAAGGACUUUGAACAGAGAAUUAAAUGAGUUUGUAUUUGCUAAACACAAAGUAAACAGACUUGAUUUCCUCAGUGAGAUUGUAGUGCUUGCUUGACAAUGGGUUUUGGCUGCAAGUGCAAUAAUUCUUGCUUUGUGUGCCAGUUUUUAUGUGGACAUUUGAUUACCUUGGCACAUGAAUGGUAAUUUUCCUGCGGGGUGUGGAUUGCAUAUGCAUGUAAUGAUUUGCAUGUUUGUUAAAUGUGUCUGGUGUAUUUGUUUGUGUCCUUGUCCUGGAGGUUGCUUUCUCCCUUGGGCUUACAUGCCCUGGCACACACAUUCUGGCAAAAUGCUUCUGCUUGACCCGUCUUGAAAAU
RNAcentral lists this ribosomal RNA (559 nucleotides) under Alexandrium tamarense. Its description in RNAcentral is "LSU rRNA". It matches the Rfam family "Eukaryotic large subunit ribosomal RNA", at positions 76 to 661 of the family's 3401-position model. The record is from RNAcentral. Lineage: Eukaryota; Dinophyceae; Gonyaulacales; Pyrocystaceae.